RNAcentral lists this ribosomal RNA (447 nucleotides) under uncultured bacterium. RNAcentral's name for it is "partial 16S ribosomal RNA". It matches the Rfam family "Bacterial small subunit ribosomal RNA", at positions 29 to 523 of the family's 1533-position model. The record is from RNAcentral.
AACGAACGCUGGCGGCAGGCUUAACACAUGCAAGUCGAGCGCCCCGCAAGGGGAGCGGCAGACGGGUGAGUAACGCGUGGGAAUCUACCGAGCCCUACGGAAUAGCCCCGGGAAACUGGAAUUAAUACCGUAUACGCCCUACGGGGGAAAGAUUUAUCGGGGUUUGAUGAGCCCGCGUUGGAUUAGCUAGUUGGUGGGGUAAAGGCCUACCAAGGCGACGAUCCAUAGCUGGUCUGAGAGGAUGAUCAGCCACAUUGGGACUGAGACACGGCCCAAACUCCUACGGGAGGCAGCAGUGGGGAAUAUUGGACAAUGGGCGCAAGCCUGAUCCAGCCAUGCCGCGUGAGUGAUGAAGGUCUUAGGAUUGUAAAGCUCUUUCACCGGUGAAGAUAAUGACGGUAACCGGAGAAGAAGCCCCGGCUAACUUCGUGCCAGCAGCCGCAGUAA